AGAAUCAACGCUGGCGGCGUGCCUAACACAUGCAAGUCGAACGAGAAAGUGGAGCAAUCCAUGAGUAAAGUGGCGCACGGGUGAGUAACACGUGACUAACCUACCUUUUAGUGGGGGAUAACCUAGGGAACCUGGGCUAAUACCGCAUAAUACCUACGGGUCAAAGCAGCAAUGCGCUGGAAGAGGGGGUCGCGGUCGAUUAGUUAGUUGGCAGGGUAAUGGCCUACCAAGACUGUGAUCGAUA
Molecule: ribosomal RNA, 244 nt
Filed under: uncultured bacterium
Lineage: Bacteria
Description: partial small subunit ribosomal RNA
Rfam family: Bacterial small subunit ribosomal RNA
Source: RNAcentral